GACGAACGCUGGCGGCGUGCUUAACACAUGCAAGUCGAACGGAAAGGCACUGAUUUUGUGGGGUGCUCGAGUGGCGAACGGGUGCGUAACACGUGAGUAACCUGCCCUUGUCUUUGGGAUAGGUUCAGGAAACUGGGGCUACUACCGGAUAGGAGCUCAUGUUGCAUGGUGGGGGUUGGAAAGUUUCGGCGGUUGGGGAUGGACUGGCGGCUUACCAGCUAGUUGGUGGGGUAGUGGCUUACCAAGGCUUUGACGGGUCGCCGGCCGGAGAGGGUGACCGGCCACAUUAGGACUGAGAGACGGCCCAGACUCCUACGGGAGGCAGCAGUGGGGAAUAUUGCACAAUGGGCGGAAGCCUGAGGCAGCAACGCCGCGUGCGGGAUGACGGCCUGCUGGUUGUAAACCGCUUUCGCCUGUGACGAAGCGUGAGUGACGGUAAUGGGUAAAGAAGCACCGGCUAACUACGUG
This 468-nucleotide ribosomal RNA is filed under the name uncultured bacterium. Its description in RNAcentral is "partial 16S ribosomal RNA". It matches the Rfam family "Bacterial small subunit ribosomal RNA", at positions 28 to 507 of the family's 1533-position model. The record is from RNAcentral.